UACGUAGGGGGCAAGCGUUGUUCGGAAUUACUGGGCGUAAAGGGCGCGUAGGCGGCCUGCUAAGUCGAACGUGAAAUCCCUGGGCUCAACCCAGGAACUGCGUCCGAUACUGGUUGGCUUGAAUCCGGGAGAGGGAUGUGGAAUUCCAGGUGUAGCGGUGAAAUGCGUAGAUAUCUGGAGGAACACCGGUGGCGAAGGCGACAUCCUGGACCGGCAUUGACGCUGAGGCGCGAAAGCCAGGGGAGCAAACGGG
This 253-nucleotide ribosomal RNA is filed under the name uncultured bacterium. Its description in RNAcentral is "partial 16S ribosomal RNA". It matches the Rfam family "Bacterial small subunit ribosomal RNA", at positions 524 to 776 of the family's 1533-position model. The record is from RNAcentral.